RNAcentral lists this long non-coding RNA (706 nucleotides) under Cimex lectularius (bed bug). RNAcentral's name for it is "uncharacterized LOC106661313, transcript variant X2". The record is from RNAcentral. Lineage: Eukaryota; Metazoa; Arthropoda; Insecta; Hemiptera; Cimicidae.
CCAUGCGUGCUCUUUUUCUCCAGUGCCAAAGUUACCACAUGUUCUCGGCCAGAUGCCUUGAAAACCACACGGCAUAACAACGCUCAAUAGUGCUUCGAGGAACAGAUGUGCCUGUAAUUAUUUUUUUAAAGCUAGUAUCGAAGCUGUUAACUAGUCGAUCUAGAGCUUCGGAAAUGUACAAAUCUCCCGGCUGUUUAUUAAUUUCAGCGGUCGUAAACCAAAAAUAUUCAGUUAAAUUUGUAAUAUUCUUUGCAACAACUAGUACUACUUUUUACGAGGGAACACAUAAAUUUACAGAAGAAUGAGAGAACGUUCAUAACGGAAGCAUUGUGUAAGGAUACGGGUUGUACCAGAUAAGCCGGAUCUUAUGCUUUCGUCGUCCAAAGAAAAAUGACCGUUUUUAUAUGUUUAAAAUAGGGGUGAGCCACACAACAUACAAAUAGAUAAAGGCAAAAACUUACUCAGAAACCAGAAGCCAAUUUGAAAAUGUGCGAACGGGAGAGAAGCUGAAAUGUGAAAGGAUGAAACCUGCAAAAAGCUACACAAACUAGGAGUCUUAGGUAGUGGAAUUUCAUCAAAGGACGAAACAAGGUGGUGACUAAUAUAUCAGAGCGAGUCAGGCAAUGGAGGCUAAGGGUUGCAAUUUGUGAAAUUCAGCUUACCAUCUUCUUGAGACUUGUAGCCGCACAGGUCUGGACUUUUGUUG